AAGUCGUAACAAGGUUUCCGUAGGUGAACCUGCGGAAGGAUCAUUACCGAAGUCAAGGCCCCUUCGGGGGCUAAACUUCCACCCUUUGUUUACCUUACCAUUGUUGCUUUGGCGGGCCGCCUUAGGCCACCGGCUCUUGAGCUGGUGCGUGCCCGCCAGAGACCCCCAAACCCAAACCAUAUUUAGUGUCGUCUGAAAACAAGUUUAAAUUAUUUAAAACUUUCAACAACGGAUCUCUUGGCUCUG
RNAcentral lists this unclassified non-coding RNA (246 nucleotides) under Chalara sp. Its description in RNAcentral is "partial internal transcribed spacer region". The stretch from base 1 to 46 matches the Rfam family "Eukaryotic small subunit ribosomal RNA", at positions 1786 to 1831 of the family's 1831-position model. Lineage: Eukaryota; Fungi; Ascomycota; Leotiomycetes; Helotiales. The record is from RNAcentral.